ACGGAAGGCAGCAGUGAGGAAUAUUGGUCAAUGGGCGGAAGCCUGGACCAGCCAAGUCGCGUGAAGGAUGAAGGUAUUAUGUAUUGUAAACUUCUUUAGACGUAGAGAAAUAAGAGGGUCGUGACCCUUGAUGCUAGUAUACGUAGAAUAAGGAUCGGCUAACUCCGUGCCAGCAGCCGCGGUAAUACGGAGGAUCCGGGCGUUAUCCGGAUUUAUUGGGUUUAAAGGGUGCGCAGGCGGUCUUUUAAGUCAGUGGUUAAAUCGUGGAGCUUAACUCCAUCCCGCCAUUGAUACUGGAGGACUUGAUUGCGGUUGAGGUUGGCGGAAUUCGCCGUGUAGCGGUGAAAUGCAUAGAUAUGGCGAAGAACUCCGAUUGCGUAGGCAGCUGACCAAGCCGUAAAUGACGCUCAUGCACGAAAGUGCGGGGAUCGAACAGGAUUAGAUACCCUGGUA
Molecule: ribosomal RNA, 453 nt
Filed under: uncultured Porphyromonadaceae bacterium
Lineage: Bacteria; Pseudomonadati; Bacteroidota; Bacteroidia; Bacteroidales; Porphyromonadaceae
Description: partial 16S ribosomal RNA
Rfam family: Bacterial small subunit ribosomal RNA
Source: RNAcentral